UACGUAGGGCGCAAGCGUUGUCCGGAAUUAUUGGGCGUAAAGAGCUCGUAGGCGGCUUGUCACGUCGGAUGUGAAAGCCCGGGGCUUAACCCCGGGUCUGCAUUCGAUACGGGCUAGCUAGAGUGUGGUAGGGGAGAUCGGAAUUCCUGGGUGUAGCGGUGAAAUGCGCAGAUAUCAGGAGGAACACCGGUGGCGAAGGCGGAUCUCUGGGCCGUAACUGACGCUGAGGAGCGAAAGCAUGGGGAGCGAACAGG
This 254-nucleotide ribosomal RNA is filed under the name uncultured bacterium. Its description in RNAcentral is "partial 16S ribosomal RNA". It matches the Rfam family "Bacterial small subunit ribosomal RNA", at positions 524 to 776 of the family's 1533-position model. The record is from RNAcentral.